UUUAAUUCGAAGCAACGCGCAGAACCUUACCAGCCUUUGACAUGGCGGGACGGCAUCGAGAGAUCGGUGUCUUCACUUCGGUGACCCGCGCACAGGUGCUGCAUGGCUGUCGUCAGCUCGUGUCGUGAGAUGUUGGGUUAAGUCCCGCAACGAGCGCAACCCACGUCCUCAGUUGCCAUCAUUGAGUUGGGCACUCUGGGGAGACUGCCGGUGAUAAGCCGCGAAGAAGGUGUGGAUGACGUCAAGUCCUCAUGGCCCUUACGGGCUGGGCUACACACGUGCUACAAUGGCGGUGACAGAGGGACGCCAACCCGCGAGGGUGCGCCAAUCUCGAAAAGCCGUCUCAGUUCGGAUUGCACUCUGCAACUCGAGUGCAUGAAGUUGGAAUCGCUAGUAAUCGUGGAUCAGCACGCCA
This 415-nucleotide ribosomal RNA is filed under the name uncultured bacterium. RNAcentral describes it as "bacterial SSU rRNA". It matches the Rfam family "Bacterial small subunit ribosomal RNA", at positions 945 to 1359 of the family's 1533-position model. The record is from RNAcentral.